GGUUAAGCGACUAAGCGUACACGGUGGAUGCCCUGGCAGUCAGAGGCGAUGAAGGGCGUGCUAAUCUGCGAUAAGCGCCGGUAAGGUGAUAUGAACCGUUAUAACCGGCGAUACCCGAAUGGGGAAACCCAGUGUGAUUCGUCACACUAUCAUUAACUGAAUCCAUAGGUUAAUGAGGCGAACCGGGGGAACUGAAACAUCUAAGUACCCCGAGGAAAAGAAAUCAACCGAGAUUCCCCCAGUAGCGGCGAGCGAACGGGGAGGAGCCCAGAGCCUGAAUCAGCAUGUGUGUUAGUGGAAGCGUCUGGAAAGGUGCGCGAUACAGGGUGACAGCCCCGUACACAAAAGCGCAUGUGCUGUGAGCUCGAUGAGUAGGGCGGGACACGUGGUAUCCUGUCUGAAUAUGGGGGGACCAUCCUCCAAGGCUAAAUACUCCUGACUGACCGAUAGUGAACCAGUACCGUGAGGGAAAGGCGAAAAGAACCCCGGCGAGGGGAGUGAAAAAGAACCUGAAACCGUGUACGUACAAGCAGUGGGAGCACCCUUCGGGGUGUGACUGCGUACCUUUUGUAUAAUGGGUCAGCGACUUAUAUUCUGUAGCAAGGUUAACCGUAUAGGGGAGCCGGAGGGAAACCGAGUCUUAACCGGGCGUUAAGUUGCAGGGUAUAGACCCGAAACCCGGUGAUCUAGCCAUGGGCAGGUUGAAGGUUGGGUAACACUAACUGGAGGACCGAACCGACUAAUGUUGAAAAAUUAGCGGAUGACCUGUGGCUGGGGGUGAAAGGCCAAUCAAACCGGGAGAUAGCUGGUUCUCCCCGAAAGCUAUUUAGGUAGCGCCUCGUGAAUUCAUCUCCGGGGGUAGAGCACUGUUUCGGCUAGGGGGCCAUCCCGGCUUACCAACCCGAUGCAAACUGCGAAUACCGGAGAAUGUUAUCACGGGAGACACACGGCGGGUGCUAACGUCCGUCGUGAAGAGGGAAACAACCCAGACCGCCAGCUAAGGUCCCAAAGUCAUGGUUAAGUGGGAAACGAUGUGGGAAGGCCCAGACAGCCAGGAUGUUGGCUUAGAAGCAGCCAUCAUUUAAAGAAAGCGUAAUAGCUCACUGGUCGAGUCGGCCUGCGCGGAAGAUGUAACGGGGCUAAACCAUGCACCGAAGCUGCGGCAGCGAACGUAUCACCCAAGACAACUUUACGGAGUUGACGAUUGACGGAGCGAAGCGACGUCAAAGCGUUCAUUAAAGUCGAGUUGGCUUAGGGAUACGUUCGUUGGGUAGGGGAGCGUUCUGUAAGCCUGUGAAGGUGUGUCGUGAGGCAUGCUGGAGGUAUCAGAAGUGCGAAUGCUGACAUAAGUAACGAUAAAGCGGGUGAAAAGCCCGCUCGCCGGAAGACCAAGGGUUCCUGUCCAACGUUAAUCGGGGCAGGGUGAGUCGACCCCUAAGGCGAGGCCGAAAGGCGUAGUCGAUGGGAAACGGGUUAAUAUUCCCGUACUUGGUGUUACUGCGAAGGGGGGACGGAGAAGGCUAUGUUGGCCGGGCGACGGUUGUCCCGGUUUAAGCGUGUAGGUGUGUGUUCCAGGUAAAUCCGGUUCACUUUAACACUGAGGCGUGACGACGAGGCACUACGGUGCUGAAGCAACAAAUGCCCUGCUUCCAGGAAAAGCCUCUAAGCAUCAGGUAACACGAAAUCGUACCCCAAACCGACACAGGUGGUCAGGUAGAGAAUACCAAGGCGCUUGAGAGAACUCGGGUGAAGGAACUAGGCAAAAUGGUGCCGUAACUUCGGGAGAAGGCACGCUGACACGUAGGUGAAGUGAUUUACUCAUGGAGCUGAAGUCAGUCGAAGAUACCAGCUGGCUGCAACUGUUUAUUAAAAACACAGCACUGUGCAAACACGAAAGUGGACGUAUACGGUGUGACGCCUGCCCGGUGCCGGAAGGUUAAUUGAUGGGGUCAGCGCAAGCGAAGCUCCUGAUCGAAGCCCCGGUAAACGGCGGCCGUAACUAUAACGGUCCUAAGGUAGCGAAAUUCCUUGUCGGGUAAGUUCCGACCUGCACGAAUGGCGUAAUGAUGGCCAGGCUGUCUCCACCCGAGACUCAGUGAAAUUGAACUCGCUGUGAAGAUGCAGUGUACCCGCGGCAAGACGGAAAGACCCCGUGAACCUUUACUAUAGCUUGACACUGAACAUUGAGCCUUGAUGUGUAGGAUAGGUGGGAGGCUUUGAAGUGUGGACGCCAGUCUGCAUGGAGCCGACCUUGAAAUACCACCCUUUAAUGUUUGAUGUUCUAACGUGGACCCGUAAUCCGGGUUGCGGACAGUGUCUGGUGGGUAGUUUGACUGGGGCGGUCUCCUCCUAAAGAGUAACGGAGGAGCACGAAGGUUGGCUAAUCCUGGUCGGACAUCAGGAGGUUAGUGCAAUGGCAUAAGCCAGCUUGACUGCGAGCGUGACGGCGCGAGCAGGUGCGAAAGCAGGUCAUAGUGAUCCGGUGGUUCUGAAUGGAAGGGCCAUCGCUCAACGGAUAAAAGGUACUCCGGGGAUAACAGGCUGAUACCGCCCAAGAGUUCAUAUCGACGGCGGUGUUUGGCACCUCGAUGUCGGCUCAUCACAUCCUGGGGCUGAAGUAGGUCCCAAGGGUAUGGCUGUUCGCCAUUUAAAGUGGUACGCGAGCUGGGUUUAGAACGUCGUGAGACAGUUCGGUCCCUAUCUGCCGUGGGCGCUGGAGAACUGAGGGGGGCUGCUCCUAGUACGAGAGGACCGGAGUGGACGCAUCACUGGUGUUCGGGUUGUCAUGCCAAUGGCACUGCCCGGUAGCUAAAUGCGGAAGAGAUAAGUGCUGAAAGCAUCUAAGCACGAAACUUGCCCCGAGAUGAGUUCUCCCUGAGACUUAGAGUCUCCUGAAGGAACGUUGAAGACGACGACGUUGAUAGGCCGGGUGUGUAAGCGCAGCGAUGCGUUGAGCUAACCGGUACUAAUGAACCGUGAGGCUUAACCUU
RNAcentral lists this ribosomal RNA (2990 nucleotides) under Salmonella enterica subsp. enterica. RNAcentral describes it as "23S ribosomal RNA". It matches the Rfam family "Bacterial large subunit ribosomal RNA". RNAcentral also lists the same sequence under 2 other names. The record is from RNAcentral. Lineage: Bacteria; Pseudomonadati; Pseudomonadota; Gammaproteobacteria; Enterobacterales; Enterobacteriaceae.